This 225-nucleotide ribosomal RNA is filed under the name uncultured soil bacterium. RNAcentral's name for it is "partial 16S ribosomal RNA". It matches the Rfam family "Bacterial small subunit ribosomal RNA", at positions 26 to 245 of the family's 1533-position model. The record is from RNAcentral.
AGAUUGAACGCUAGCGGGAUGCUUUACACAUGCAAGUCGAACGGCAGCGCGGACUUCGGUCUGGCGGCGAGUGGCGAACGGGUGAGUAAUAUAUCGGAACGUGCCCAGUAGCGGGGGAUAACUACGCGAAAGCGUGGCUAAUACCGCAUACGCCCGUACGGGGGAAAGGGGGGGAUCGUCGAACGACCUCUCACUAGUUAGGAGCCGGCGAUAUCGAGUAUUACG